GAAAGAGUGGCUAAUACAUGAUGUGCUGGCUCACUGUGGUGAGCCAGUAAAGACUGGAUCGCUUUGGGAUGGGGUUGCGUUCCAUCAGCUAGUUGGUAGGGUAAAGGCCUACCAAGGCGACGACGGAUAGCCGGCCUGAGAGGGUGGCCGGCCACAGGGGCACUGAGACACGGGUCCCACUCCUACGGGAGGCAGCAGUUAGGAAUCUUCCACAAUGGGCGCAAGCCUGAUGGAGCGACGCCGCGUGAGGGAUGAAGGUUCUCGGAUCGUAAACCUCUGAAUCAACGACGAAAGACCCGACGAGGGGGAUGACGGUAGUUGAGUAAUAGCACCGGCUAACUCCGUGC
RNAcentral lists this ribosomal RNA (347 nucleotides) under uncultured Micrococcus sp. Its description in RNAcentral is "bacterial SSU rRNA". It matches the Rfam family "Bacterial small subunit ribosomal RNA", at positions 153 to 508 of the family's 1533-position model. Lineage: Bacteria; Bacillati; Actinomycetota; Actinomycetes; Micrococcales; Micrococcaceae. The record is from RNAcentral.